AUACGGAGGAUGCGAGCGUUAUCCGGAUUUAUUGGGUUUAAAGGGUGCGCAGGCGGCACGUCAAGUCAGCGGUCAAAAUGCGGCGCUCAACGCCGUACCGCCGUUGAAACUGGCGGGCUCGAGUGCGUGGGAGGAUGGCGGAAUGCGCGGUGUAGCGGGGAAAUGCAUAGAUAUCGCGCAGAACCCCGAUUGCGAAGGCAGCUGUCCAUCACGCCACUGACGCUCAUGCACGAAAGCGUGGGUAGCGAACAGGAUUAGAUACCCUGGUAGUCCACGCGGUAAACGAUGAUAACUAGUUAUCCGGCCCGAUUGGGGGCUGGGUGACCGAGCGAAAGCGUUAAGUUAUCCACCUGGGGAGUACGCCGGCAACGGUGAAACUCAAAUGAAUUGACGGGG
Molecule: ribosomal RNA, 396 nt
Filed under: uncultured bacterium
Lineage: Bacteria
Description: partial 16S ribosomal RNA
Rfam family: Bacterial small subunit ribosomal RNA
Source: RNAcentral